Molecule: long non-coding RNA, 1479 nt
Organism: Cyprinus carpio (common carp)
Lineage: Eukaryota; Metazoa; Chordata; Actinopteri; Cypriniformes; Cyprinidae
Source: Ensembl
CUAUAUAAUAAUAGUAGUUAAUUGUACUGUGCAUUAGUAAAGUUUGUGUUUUGGUGUUUCAGUGCACCAGACACUGCAGGGACUCUAAACAAAAAGCUUUCCAGUUCUUAUAGUCUAAAUAAAUGAUGAGGUUCUGUAAAGGUAAACUGGUUUGGCUUGCUUUCCUGAUGAAAGAGGUGAGUGGGGAGUGGGGACCCAAUGAUGAAUUUACAAGUCAAGUCAGGGUAAAGUGAGCUGUUUAACCUAGUUUUGUGAUCGAUUUGCAGAAAUGUAGCAUUACAUCACUUGCUCAGCAAUGGGUCCUCUGCAGUGAAUGGGUGCCGUCAGAAUGAGAGUCCAAACAGCUGAUAAAAACAUCACAAUAAUCCACAAGUAAUCCAAUAUUAUAAAUUAUGGACGCACAUUUUAGCUGGAAGAAACAGUCUUAAGUUGAAAACACUUUAAUGAUGGAUUUGUUUCUUACAUACAGCUUUUCACUUCACAAGACAUUAAUUGAUGGACUGGUCUGGUGUGGACUACUGUAAAGUGUUACUAAGUUGCUCACAGUAUUUUUUCCUCAAUGAAUCACAUGAUCAGCUUAAUACCGCUGACUUUAUCUUGGUAACUUGGUGACAGAGUAAGUCAAAGACCACAGUUGUAUUUUGUUUUAUAUUGCAUUAUUUAAAAGUAUAUGUUAUUGAUUUUAGAGCUGGAUUCCAGUGUUCUUUAAAAAGAGAGUGUGCAUUUGUGACAUUUGUGGAGGACUCUUUCAUGUAAGAUGACUUUUGACUUUAAGUGAGUAUUCAGAACCUCUUUGUAAGAGCACAGAUCCUCCAAGGUUUUUUUAUUUAUUUUUAUUAUUAUUAUUAUUUUGUACCAAUGGCAGUAUGUGUCAGUGUGUGUCCACGAGAGACUUCUACCCCUCAGCACAGCCAUUGUCAGUCACUGGGACAGCACACAGCACUCCUCUGAGCAGCCCACAGAUGCCUAUGGAGAACUGGAGUUUGUAGGGGCUGGCAAGAGACACAGCUAUGAGUGGAUCAUAACCGCAGGACUGAGGGAAGGCAUCGGCAAGUGUGUAGGAGAGGCUGUGAGAGAUCAGGCCACUGCAGUGUCUUCUGUACCUUGAUUUGGACAAGCAUUAGAUACAUCUCUGAUGAAUUCAAUGCCCUGAUUAGUCCUGGCUGGUUCGGGUGGGCUUGCCAAUCUUGUGAGUGACAUUGUGGACAACGUGCAGUCUGCUUCGGUGCCUGUACUUGGAGCAGAGAAGAAGGAAGCCACUCCCAAUGUGGAGCUUAGAGAACGAAUAGCCAUGAAAGUAAAAAAAUACUUUCCUUCAGAGCGAGACAUGGACAAGCUUGUUGACAAGGUGAACGUCACACUCUUUACUUAAUCAUGUAACACCAUCAAAGUGGGCUAUUUUGUGUCAGAACUUAAGAAACCUCCCCAGCUCAAAUUUUGGAUUUUUUAAAGCAUUUUUCUGAAGAAAGACAAACAUAA